CGGAGGGUGCAAGCGUUAUCCGGAUUUAUUGGGUUUAAAGGGUUCGUAGGCGGCUUGAUAAGUCAGUGGUGAAAUCCUAUCGCUUAACGAUAGAACUGCCAUUGAUACUGUUAAGCUAGAACAUGUUUGAAGUAGCUAGAAUGUGUAGUGUAGCGGUGAAAUGCAUAGAUAUUACGCGGAAUACCAAUUGCGAAGGCAGGUUACUAAGACAUUAUUGACGCUGAUGGACGAAAGCGUGGGGAGCGAACAGGAUU
Molecule: ribosomal RNA, 254 nt
Filed under: uncultured bacterium
Lineage: Bacteria
Description: partial 16S ribosomal RNA
Rfam family: Bacterial small subunit ribosomal RNA
Source: RNAcentral